GCUGAAAACGAAUGAAUCGAUAAUGUAUUCGUAAACGUAAUGAUAACUUUAUAAAGUGCAAAAAAAAAAAAUAUAUCAUUUUUUAAAUAAAUAUAAUAUUUUCCGCCGAGAAAAACACGCAGUUUCCGUUCUUGAUUAAGUGAGGUAUAUACUGCAAGCGGAUACGCGUUCGGGUGGACAUCUGGGACAGGAGUAUUUAUUUAGGAAGGUACUUGAAAGAAAAUUGAUAAACGAUCACGUCUGUAAAACGAUUCUUAGUGGUAUGGAACCAAAAAAAAAUGGUCGAGAUUUUCUUAAAAAUAGGUGUCAGUUCACGAGUUUAACAAUAUACUAUGCUCAAUAUUCAACCAAAAGACAUUUUUGGAUGAUUUUUAUUAUUUCAAAUAUAGUUUUCCUAUGCGGAAGAAUGAGAAAAAAUAUCAUUCAUUGUAAAUAGUUUCUACGCUCCAUUCAAAAUCUAAAAGCAGACACGUCUGUUUGUUUCUGAGAAGGACAUACGUCACAUGGAAAACACAAUAAAGUUUAACGGGGAUAGUGACAAAAAGAAGAAUUCAAUGCGUUUAAACGUAUUUUAAGCAAGUUUUAAUUUCGGAAAUAAAUUAUAAGACUGAUAAUUCGCAAAGUAUCAAUUUGGAAAUAUCCUUAUUGUUAGCGCGUUCUAAUUAAUUCAGAAUUUCUAUGUUUUAAAGUGACUCAUUAUUAUACGUAAAUAUGCAUUCAUUUAUAUUUUAAUAGUAGUUUUUGCGUAUUUGACUUGUAAGGAUAAGUAUAAAUUUAAGUUCAAAAUUUUUAAAGAAUAAUUUGAACAUUAUUUUAAACUUUAAGAGCUGAAAAUAUGUUUAUAAACGGCAUUGUAUUUAAUUGU
Molecule: long non-coding RNA, 865 nt
Organism: Aphis gossypii (cotton aphid)
Lineage: Eukaryota; Metazoa; Arthropoda; Insecta; Hemiptera; Aphididae
Exons: 3
Source: RefSeq, a predicted model, not a curated record